UGGGGAAUAUUGGACAAUGGGGGGAACCCUGAUCCAGCCAUGCCGCGUGUGUGAAGAAGGCCUUAUGGUUGUAAAGCACUUUAAGCGAGGAGGAGGCUCUCUUGGUUAAUACCCAAGAAGAGUGGACGUUACUCGCAGAAUAAGCACCGGCUAACUCUGUGCCAGCAGCCGGGGUAAUACAGAGGGUGCGAGCGUUAAUCGGAUUUACUGGGCGUAAAGCGUGCGUAGGCGGCUUUUUAAGUAGGAUGUGGAAUCCCCGAGCUUAACUUGGGAAUUGCAUUCGAUAACGAGCAGCUAGAGUAUGGGAGAAGAUGGUAGAAUUCCAGGUGUAGGUGUGAAAUGCGUAGAGAUCUGGAAGGAUACCGAUGGCGAAGGGAGGCAUCUGGCCUAAUACUGACGCUGGGGGACGAAAGCAUGGGGAGCAAACAGG
This 430-nucleotide ribosomal RNA is filed under the name bacterium. RNAcentral's name for it is "partial 16S ribosomal RNA". It matches the Rfam family "Bacterial small subunit ribosomal RNA", at positions 355 to 776 of the family's 1533-position model. The record is from RNAcentral.